GUUGCUUUCGCCUAAUUGGUCAAGGCACCCGGCUCAUAACCGGGCCCAUGUGGGUUCGAGUCCCUCAAGCAGCACCA
Molecule: transfer RNA, 77 nt
Filed under: Caudoviricetes sp.
Lineage: Duplodnaviria; Heunggongvirae; Uroviricota; Caudoviricetes
Description: tRNA-Met
Rfam family: tRNA
About the family: Transfer RNA (tRNA) molecules are approximately 80 nucleotides in length. Their secondary structure includes four short double-helical elements and three loops (D, anti-codon, and T loops).
Source: RNAcentral